GACGAACCGUGCGAACGUUAUUCGGAAUCACUGGGCUUAAAGCGCGUGUAGGCGGGCCGCCGCGUCGGCUGCUGAAAUCCCCCGGCUCAACCGGGGAACGGGCACCGAUACGGGCGGCCUCGAGGGGGGUAGGGGGGCCUGGAACUUCCGGUGGAGCGGUGAAAUGCGUUGAGAUCGGAAGGAACGCCCGUGGCGAAAGCGAGGCCCUGGACCCUUACUGACGCUGAGACGCGAAAGCCAGGGGAGCGAACGGG
Molecule: ribosomal RNA, 254 nt
Filed under: uncultured bacterium
Lineage: Bacteria
Description: partial 16S ribosomal RNA
Rfam family: Bacterial small subunit ribosomal RNA
Source: RNAcentral